Molecule: ribosomal RNA, 508 nt
Filed under: uncultured bacterium
Lineage: Bacteria
Description: partial 16S ribosomal RNA
Rfam family: Bacterial small subunit ribosomal RNA
Source: RNAcentral
GACGAACGCUGGCGGCGUGCCUAAUACAUGCAAGUCGAGCGCAGGAAGUCAUCCGAACCCUUCGGGGGGACGUUGACGGAAUGAGCGGCGGACGGGUGAGUAACACGUAAAGAACCUGCCCUCAGGUCUGGGAUAACCACGAGAGAUCGGGGCUAAUACCGGAUGGGUCAUCGGACCGCAUGGUCCGAGGAUGAAAGGCGCUCCGGCGUCGCCUGGGGAUGGCUUUGCGGUGCAUUAGCUAGUUGGUGAGGUAAUGGCCCACCAAGGCGACGAUGCAUAGCCGACCUGAGAGGGUGAUCGGCCACACUGGGACUGAGACACGGCCCAGACUCCUACGGGAGGCAGCAGUAGGGAAUCUUCCACAAUGGACGAAAGUCUGAUGGGGCAACGCCGCGUGAACGAUGAAGGCCCUCGGGUCGUAAAGUUCUGUUGUAAGGGAAGAACAAGUGCCGCAGGCAAUGGCGGCACCUUGACGGUACCUUGCGAGAAAGCCACGGCUAACUACGUG